Molecule: small RNA, 28 nt
Filed under: Bombyx mori (domestic silkworm)
Lineage: Eukaryota; Metazoa; Arthropoda; Insecta; Lepidoptera; Bombycidae
Description: ovarian small RNA-25118
Source: RNAcentral
UCACCAUCAAACAGCCCACAGUCGUCCA